CCCGCACAAGCGGCGGAGCAUGUGGUUUAAUUCGAAGCAACGCGAAGAACCUUACCAGGCCUUGACAUGCAGAGAACUUUCCAGAGAUGGAUUGGUGCCUUCGGGAACUCUGACACAGGUGCUGCAUGGCUGUCGUCAGCUCGUGUCGUGAGAUGUUGGGUUAAGUCCCGUAACGAGCGCAACCCUUGCCUUUAGUUGCCAGCAGUUCGGCUGGGCACUCUAAAGGGACUGCCGGUGUUAAACCGGAGGAAGGUGGGGAUGACGUCAAGUCCUCAUGGCCUUUAUGACCAGGGCUACACACGUACUACAAUGGCCGAUACAAAGGGCAGCGACACUGCGAGGUGAAGCCAAUCCCGUAAAAUCGGUCUCAGUCCGGAUUGGAGUCUGCAACUCGACUCCAUGAAGUUGGAAUCGCUAGUAAUCGUGGAUCAGCAUGCCACGGUGAAUACGUUCCCGGGCCUU
Molecule: ribosomal RNA, 462 nt
Filed under: uncultured Desulfobulbus sp.
Lineage: Bacteria; Pseudomonadati; Thermodesulfobacteriota; Desulfobulbia; Desulfobulbales; Desulfobulbaceae
Description: bacterial SSU rRNA
Rfam family: Bacterial small subunit ribosomal RNA
Source: RNAcentral